This 460-nucleotide ribosomal RNA is filed under the name uncultured bacterium. RNAcentral describes it as "partial 16S ribosomal RNA". It matches the Rfam family "Bacterial small subunit ribosomal RNA", at positions 338 to 795 of the family's 1533-position model. The record is from RNAcentral.
CCUACGGGAGGCUGCAGUGAGGAAUAUUGGUCAAUGGGCGCAACUCUGAACCAGCCAAGUAGCGUGCAGGAUGACUGCCCUAUGGGUUGUAAACUGCUUUUAUGCGGGGAUAAAGUGAGGCACGUGUGCCUUAUUGUAUGUACUUUAUGAAUAAGGACCGGCUAAUUCCGUGCCAGCAGCCGCGGUAAUACGGAGGAUCCGAGCGUUAUCCGGAUUUAUUGGGUUUAAAGGGAGCGUAGGUGGGUUGUUAAGUCAGUUGUGAAAGUCUGCGGCUCAACCGUAGAAUUGCAAUUGGUACUGGCAGUCUUGAGUACAGUGGAGGUAGGCGGAAUUCGUGGUGUAGCGGUGAAAUGCUUAGAUAUCACGAAGAACUCCGAUUGCGAAGGCAGCUUACUAUACUGCCACUGACAUUGAUGCUCGAAGGUGUGGGUAUCAAACAGGAUUAGAUACCCUUGUAGUC